This 253-nucleotide ribosomal RNA is filed under the name uncultured bacterium. RNAcentral describes it as "partial 16S ribosomal RNA". It matches the Rfam family "Bacterial small subunit ribosomal RNA", at positions 524 to 776 of the family's 1533-position model. The record is from RNAcentral.
UACGUAGGGUGCGAGCGUUGUCCGGAAUUAUUGGGCGUAAAGGGCUCGUAGGCGGUCUGUCACGUCGGGCGUGAAAACACGGGGCUUAACCCCGUGCCUGCUUCCGAUACGGGCAGACUAGAGGUAUGCAGGGGAGAACGGAAUUCCUGGUGUAGCGGUGAAAUGCGCAGAUAUCAGGAAGAACACCCGUGGCUAAGGCGGCUCUCUAGUACGGUACUGACGCUGAGACGCGAAAGCGUGGGGAGCGAACAGG